This 454-nucleotide ribosomal RNA is filed under the name uncultured bacterium. Its description in RNAcentral is "bacterial SSU rRNA". It matches the Rfam family "Bacterial small subunit ribosomal RNA", at positions 917 to 1382 of the family's 1533-position model. The record is from RNAcentral.
GGGCCCGCACAAGCAGCGGAGCGUGUGGUUUAAUUCGAUGCAACGCGAAGAACCUUACCAGGGUUUGACAUGCUUGAAGUAGAAACUCGAAAGAGGGACGACCAGUAUCCAGCCUGGAACUUGCACAGGUGCUGCAUGGCUGUCGUCAGCUCGUGCCGUGAGGUGUUAGGUUAAGUCCUGCAACGAGCGCAACCCUCGUCGCUAGUUAAUUUCUCUAGCGAGACUGCCCGUAUAACGUGGAGGAAGGUGGGGAUGACGUCAAGUCAGCAUGGCCCUUACAUCCUGGGCUACACACACGCUACAAUGGGUGAUACAACAGGUUGCGAUAGAGUGAUCUGGAGCCAAUCCAAAAAAUCAUCCUCAGUUCGGAUUGUAGGCUGAAACUGCCUGCAUGAAGUUGGAGUUGCUAGUAACCGCAGGUCAGCACACUGCGGUGAAUACGUUCUCGGGCCUU